RNAcentral lists this ribosomal RNA (253 nucleotides) under uncultured bacterium. RNAcentral describes it as "partial 16S ribosomal RNA". It matches the Rfam family "Bacterial small subunit ribosomal RNA", at positions 524 to 776 of the family's 1533-position model. The record is from RNAcentral.
UACGUAGGGGGCAAGCGUUGUCCGGAUUUAUUGGGCGUAAAGAGCGUGUAGGCGGCCAUGUAGGUCCGUUGUGAAAACUCGAGGCUCAACCUCGAGACGCCGAUGGAAACCAUGUGGCUAGAGUCCGGAAGAGGAGAGUGGAAUUCCUGGUGUAGCGGUGAAAUGCGCAGAUAUCAGGAAGAACACCCGUGGCUAAGGCGGCUCUCUAGUACGGUACUGACGCUGAGACGCGAAAGCGUGUGGAGCGAACAGG